Molecule: ribosomal RNA, 879 nt
Filed under: uncultured marine bacterium
Lineage: Bacteria
Description: bacterial SSU rRNA
Rfam family: Bacterial small subunit ribosomal RNA
Source: RNAcentral
GCAAGUCGAACGCAGUAGCAAUACUGAGUGGCAAACGGGUGAGUAUAAUGUGGGAAUCUGCCUUUUGGUUUGGAAUAACACGGGGAAACUUGUGCUAAUACCGAAUAAGCCCUUACGGGGAAAGUUUUAACGCCGAAAGAUGAGCCUGCACUUGAUUAGCUAGUUGGUAAGGUAAAAGCUUACCAAGGCAACGAUCAAUAGCUGUUCUUAGAGGAAGACCAGCCACAUUGGGACUGAGACACGGCCCAGACUCCUACGGGAGGCAGCAGUGGGGAAUCUUGCACAAUGGGGGAAACCCUGAUGCAGCGAUGCCGCGUGAGUGAAGAAGGCCCUUGGGUUGUAAAACUCUUUCGUCGGGGAAGAAAAUGACUGUACCCGAAUAAGAAGGUCCGGCUAACUUCGUGCCAGCAGCCGCGGUAAUACGAAGGGACCUAGCGUAGUUCGGAAUUGCUGGGCUUAAAGAGCUCGUAGGUGGUUAAAAAAGUUGAUGGUGAAAUCCCAAGGCUCAACCUUGGAACUGCCAUCAAAACUUUUUAGCUAGAGUGUGAUAGAGGUAAGUGGAAUUUCUAGUGUAGAGGUGAAAUUCGUAGAUAUUAGAAAGAACACCAAAUGCGAAGGCAACUUACUGGGUCACUACUGACACUGAGGAGCGAAAGCAUGGGUAGCGAAGAGGAUUAGAUACCCUCGUAGUCCAUGCCGUAAACGAUGUGUGCUAGACGUUGGAAAUAUAUUUUUCAGUGUCGCAGCGAAAGCAUUAAGCACACCGCCUGGGGAGUACGACCGCAAGGUUAAAACUCAAAUGAAUUGACGGGGGACCCGCACAAGCAGUGGAGCAUGUGGUUUAAUUCGAAGAUACGCGCAGAACCUUACCAACACUUG